GAUGAAGAACGUAGCGAAAUGCGAUAAGUAGUGUGAAUUGCAGAAUUCAGUGAAUCAUCGAAUCUUUGAACGCACAUUGCGCCCCAUGGUAUUCCGUGGGGCAUGCCUGUUCGAGCGUCAUUUACCCCCUCAAGCUCCGCUUGGUGUUGGGCGUCUGUCCCGCUUCGCGCGCGGACUCGCCCCAAAGGUAUUGGCAGCGGUCAUGCCAGCUUCUCGCGCAGCACAUUGCGCUUCUCGAGGCACCGGUGGGCCCGCGUCCAUCAAGCUCACCCCCCCAGUUUGACCUCGGAUCAGGUAGGGAUACCCGCUGAACUUAAGCAUAUCAAUAAGCGGAGGA
This 337-nucleotide unclassified non-coding RNA is filed under the name soil metagenome. Its description in RNAcentral is "partial contains 5.8S ribosomal RNA, internal transcribed spacer 2, and large subunit ribosomal RNA". The stretch from base 1 to 120 matches the Rfam family "5.8S ribosomal RNA", at positions 35 to 154 of the family's 154-position model. The record is from RNAcentral.